This 645-nucleotide ribosomal RNA is filed under the name uncultured bacterium. RNAcentral's name for it is "bacterial SSU rRNA". It matches the Rfam family "Bacterial small subunit ribosomal RNA", at positions 202 to 842 of the family's 1533-position model. The record is from RNAcentral.
CAAAGGGAGCAAUCCCGGCCACGGAUGGGCAUGCGGCGCAUUAGCUAGUCGGCGGGGUAACGGCCCACCGAGGCGACGAUGCGUAGGGGUUCUGAGAGGAAGGCCCCCCACACUGGUACUGAGACACGGACCAGACUCCUACGGGAGGCAGCAGUGAGGAAUAUUGGUCAAUGGGCGCGAGCCUGAACCAGCCAAGUCGCGUGAGGGAGGACGGCCCUACGGGUUGUAAACCUCUUUUGCCGGGGAGCAACGGGCGCCACGUGUGGCGCCACUGAGAGUACCCGGAGAAAAAGCAUCGGCUAACUCCGUGCCAGCAGCCGCGGUAAUACGGAGGAUGCGAGCGUUAUCCGGAUUUAUUGGGUUUAAAGGGUGCGUAGGCGGAUCGUUAAGUCAGUGGUCAAAUUGAGGGGCUCAACCCCUUCCCGCCAUUGAAACUGGCGAUCUUGAGUGGAAGAGAAGUAUGCGGAGUGCGUGGUGUAGCGGUGAAAUGCAUAGAUAUCACGCAGAACCCCGAUUGCGAAGGCAGCAUGCCGGCUUCCGACUGACGCUGAAGCACGAAAGCGUGGGGAUCGAACAGGAUUAGAUACCCUGGUAGUCCACGCGGUAAACGAUGAGCGCUAGGUGUCCGGGGGGAUUGACCCCUGG